RNAcentral lists this long non-coding RNA (291 nucleotides) under Crocodylus porosus (Australian saltwater crocodile). RNAcentral's name for it is "lncRNA (ENSCPRG00005004178.1)". The record is from RNAcentral. Lineage: Eukaryota; Metazoa; Chordata; Crocodylia; Crocodylidae.
AAAAUAUGAUUAUGAUACUGUAAAUGACUCUACUUUGGAGGCUAUGAAAAGUCUGCAGAUUUUUCCUGCCAAACCUAUACAGGAAUCUGAAUAUAUAGGUAAACAGUAUUUAGAAGUUUGGAGUGGUGCUGACUUUUCCCCAGAUAUCACCAUCCAGCAUAAGUCCUCCAGUUCUCCUCAGGACUUGAGGAAACACCAUCCUGUUUCAGAGAGGAGUGAAGUCCCAAAUGUCAAAGGUCAUCCUGUAAGAAGAAGCAGGAAGCCAAAAAUAAUUUCCGUGGAAGAUAUGAG